GCGUGAUGAGGGAGUCCCUCAUUGACUAAUAUGGCAUCGACUGUUCAUUAAUUGGGCCUAUUUUAAUUGAACAUUUGCAUCUUGGGCUUGGCCCAUUUACAUUUUCCUAUGUAUAUGUGUGAAUUCACUUCGUUAAAGUAUGUUUCCGAAUCCUAACCAAACUCCCUCUCUUGUCUAUCGCACUCUCAUAGUAUUUUGUCCAAUCGUUAACUUGAU
This 216-nucleotide long non-coding RNA is filed under the name Olea europaea (common olive). RNAcentral's name for it is "long non-coding RNA (OEUR_LNC006672)". The record is from RNAcentral. Lineage: Eukaryota; Viridiplantae; Streptophyta; Magnoliopsida; Lamiales; Oleaceae.